Molecule: long non-coding RNA, 756 nt
Organism: Centrocercus urophasianus (Greater sage-grouse)
Lineage: Eukaryota; Metazoa; Chordata; Aves; Galliformes; Phasianidae
Exons: 2
Source: RefSeq, a predicted model, not a curated record
ACGGCGGGCGCUGCGGGGUGGGGGAAGCGGGAGCCCCCUGCAGCCCAUGGGCAGCCCCGCUAUGUCAGCCGUGAGGCAGAGAGCAGCUCUGCUGCCGUGGGGGUGCGCCUGGCUCCCGACUACGAGAACGUCUUCGUCGGCUCCUACGCGGCCCCUGGCGCAGCCCCGGUGCAGGAUGGAGAGCAUGGAUGGCAGCAGGAGGGGUACAGCCCCCAGGCGCCGCCGGACGAUCUCUAUUUCCUGGAGAGCGGCGCAGGGGAGCAGCCCAUCUACGCCAACACCGGGACCCCCGGAGAGGACAUCUAUGUCAGCCCCGACCCGUGAGGGCAGCGCCCCGGGGGAUUCUGCAGCGCUGGGACGGCGGAGGGGAUUUUCCUCUUUUUCUUUUUUUUUCUGUUGGUUUUUUUUUUUUUUUGCAACGAGAGCAAAACGGCUGCGCCGCCGUUUCCUGCGCGGGGCGGAGGGAGGAAGCGGCCGCUUCUCCUUGGGGUUUGCGCUGCGAAAUGGGGACGGGGCGGCGGGACGCGGCGGUCCCUGCACGUCGCUCCGGAGCUCCGCGUGACGCCGGGACCGACGGCCCCAAAUGCUGCCCUCUGUGAAAUCCGACGGCCUGGGACAAAAAAUGCCGUUUUUGGACGCUGCUGGCAGUGUGUGGCUGCGAGGUGGGUGGUGACAUGGGGGCACCCCGUGUCCCAGCCUCGCACGGGUCCUUGUGAUUCUCCACGGUGACAUUAAAUGUUGGGCUGUCCUCAGUGA